This 72-nucleotide transfer RNA is filed under the name Candidatus Woesearchaeota archaeon. Its description in RNAcentral is "tRNA-Val". It matches the Rfam family "tRNA". Rfam says of the family: Transfer RNA (tRNA) molecules are approximately 80 nucleotides in length. Their secondary structure includes four short double-helical elements and three loops (D, anti-codon, and T loops). Lineage: Archaea; Nanobdellati; Candidatus Woesearchaeota. The record is from RNAcentral.
GGACCUAUGGUCUAGUGGUAUGACGUUACCCUUACAAGGUGAAGGUCGCCGGUUCGAUCCCGGCUAGGUCCA